GAUCCUGGCUCAGGAUGAACGCUAGCUACAGGCUUAACACAUGCAAGUCGAGGGGCAGCAUGGUCUUAGCUUGCUAAGGCUGAUGGCGACCGGCGCACGGGUGAGUGACACGUAUCCAACCUGCCGUCUACUCUUGGCCAGCCUUCUGAAAGGAAGAUUAAUCCAGGAUGGCAUCAUGAGUUCACAUGUCCGCAUGAUUAAAGGGUAUUUUCCGGUAGACGAUGGGG
This 227-nucleotide ribosomal RNA is filed under the name uncultured bacterium. RNAcentral describes it as "partial 16S ribosomal RNA". It matches the Rfam family "Bacterial small subunit ribosomal RNA", at positions 15 to 230 of the family's 1533-position model. The record is from RNAcentral.